This 253-nucleotide ribosomal RNA is filed under the name uncultured bacterium. RNAcentral's name for it is "partial 16S ribosomal RNA". It matches the Rfam family "Bacterial small subunit ribosomal RNA", at positions 524 to 776 of the family's 1533-position model. The record is from RNAcentral.
UACAGAGGGUGCGAGCGUUAAUCGGAAUUACUGGGCGUAAAGCGCGCGUAGGCGGUUUUUUAAGUCGGAUGUGAAAGCCCCGGGCUCAACCUGGGAACUGCAUUCGAAACUGGAUGACUAGAGUAUGGUAGAGGGUGGUGGAAUUCCUAGUGUAGCGGUGAAAUGCGUAGAUAUUAGGAGGAACAUCAGUGGCGAAGGCGACCACCUGGACCAAUACUGACGCUGAGGUGCGAAAGCGUGGGGAGCAAACAGG